Molecule: ribosomal RNA, 253 nt
Filed under: uncultured bacterium
Lineage: Bacteria
Description: partial 16S ribosomal RNA
Rfam family: Bacterial small subunit ribosomal RNA
Source: RNAcentral
UACGUAGGGGGCUAGCGUUGUCCGGAAUCAUUGGGCGUAAAGCGCGCGUAGGCGGCCAGAUAAGUCCGGUGUGAAAGUCACAGGCUCAACCUGUGAAUGCCGCUGGAAACUGUCUGGCUUGAGUCCGGAAGGGGCGAGUGGAAUUCCUGGUGUAGCGGUGGAAUGCGCAGAUAUCAGGAGGAACACCAAUAGCGAAGGCAGCUCGCUGGGACGUUACUGACACUGAGGCGCGAAAGCGUGGGGAGCGAACAGG